AGGUUGAAACAUACUGACAUAGGUGGUUUGCAGAGGGCAUGGCCUCUAUACCACCCUCCCAGCUGCGCUUCACGGAACCGCCCUUCGGCUAGAGAGUGCCCCUCCUUUUUCUGUCUCUGGAAAAAAAUGCAAUUGGUCUAAGAAUCCGAAGUUUUGCAUCUGAGCAUGCUUAAUAUUUUCCCUUGCUGUUUUAAACUGUUCCAUAAGGAAAACCCCAAAACAAAAAGCUCUGUCCAAAAUAUUGAACAUAUUUAUCAUUCAUAUAUACGUAUAUAUGGACAUACUAUAUAGGCCCAGACAUAACACUACAUAUGUGGAACACAACUUACAGUAUAUGCAUACAUAUUUGUAUAUAACAUCUUUGUGUGUGUGUGUGUGUGUGUGUGUGUGUGUGUGUUCAAAUGCCUGGAUUCAGAGGGGGUGGUUUAUCCUCUUCUAGAAUAAUUUUCUCCUGAGCCUAAUGGAAUGUUUUUGUUUCCUGUUUUAUUUUUUGCCUUCCUGAUCAUUUUUUGAGCCAGCAGAGAGUAUAGAAAGCUGAUUGUCACCAGCCAUUUUUGAGAUGUGACUUUGAGUAAAAUGAUAAUUACUUACUAGUGUGGCUAAUGGAGAGCUUAUUUUUAAAAUAAUUAAUGUAGUUCCAGGAAAACUCCAUUGUUUUUGUUGUUGUUUUAGACUUUAUAUUUCUCUUAGGUUCAGUAUCUGACAAAGUAACCAUUUUGUGGUUGCAAAAUUACUCUAAACAUAGGAAGGUUUUGGUUGGUGCCAUAUAUGGUAAAUGAUAGUUUACUUUUCUUAUAGGUCUUUAAAACAGACAUUAUUCAUUGAAGUAAUGGUAACAUUAGGCUUUUAGUUGCACUUCAAAAUAAGAUUGAUGUAUGUGAUGAACAUUUUAUAUGAUAGCCUAGUCAAAACACAGGAGGAAAAAAUGAAAGAUUACAGGUAUAUUGUUUUGGUAACAUUUAGAAAGGAAAUAUGGACAGGCAAUCACAGUCUGUGAUGAAAUCUAGAGAGGGAGGCUAGCUGGUUAGCUGCCUGUGCAAAUGUGAGACAGGGCAAUGGGUUUCCUGUUAGAGAAGGUUCUGUGGACCCGACUGUAUGUUGAGUGACUGUCACAAUCCAUCCUGAGGAAUUCUUAGUUGCACAUUCUUUUAAUUAUCAGGAACAUGACCUAAGGAUGUCUUCUUUAAAUCACUGAGAACUGUAGAUUUAAAGAAUAAACACAGAAGUUAAAGAUUUUGCUUCUGUUUUGACUACAAAGAAGAUGGAUCAUCUUGGUACAAAUCAAGGCCAAGGGACUGGGGUUUCCAAAGUUAGAAGCAUAUAGACUACAAUUCCAUCACAACACUGCAUGUGUUCCUCCUUCCGAAGAAACCAGGUCUACUUGGGAACCUUAAUUGUGUCCCAGGGUUCUUCAUUGUUCUUCCUGUGGGCAACUCUGGUCAAGCAAAGGUAACAGCAGCUACAGUACAGGUUUAUGUAUUCUCUCAGAUGGCAAACACAUUAACUUUUGCACUCUCUGUUGGGGUUUAAUUUACCAUAACUUCUUUCGUUCUGGAAGACCAUGGGUAAUUCAAGUUUAGCUUAUGAUGUGGACGUUUCUAAUGAAUGGCUAGUGAGUAGGAUAGUAUGACUUCUAUUUUGUCCUAGAGAGUAGUCUGUAGGGUUACAGUUUUGGCAUUGUAUAUCGUAUAACAUUGGCAUUGUUAUACCUCAGCUUUAGCUGUAGCCACUGGCACCACCUGUACACCAUUGUAGGGAAUGUAGUAGAGAGGAGAACUCAAUAAUUCUCUUCUAUUUAGUCAGUAACCACUCCAGAGGAGUUUGUUAUGAGUUCUGAUAGGCUGCCAGCCAUGUUUCUAGGCUGGUGAGUUCGUUUAAACUGGUUUCCUAUAUUUCUUUUCUGUGUCCCUUUUAAUGGUUUCCCACAAACUUUUCAAAAUUUUUUCUUCAUAAUUCCAAGCCUUUUAGAGUCAUUUUUGUCUAUGAAAAUGAGCAUUCCCAGAGCGUUGUGGCCUCACAGAAGGUGGAGAAUGGGGGAGAGAAUGCACGUUGCCCACUGCAGGCAUUUUCCAAAGUGAGGGUUCCUUCUACCUACCAGGGCACGGUUACAGUUCAGGGCCAUGAUACCUCAUGGAAUACCACUGGGAAAAACAGAAGAAAAAAAAAAACAGUUUUCUAAUUUGUCUGAAUGUUUAUCCAGGUCCUAAAUAAAGUAAUUGUGGUGUGAUGCUCUCAAACCCACAUGGAACCCCAUGCAGCACUUGUCUUAAACUUGUCUUAAACUACCUUAAACCAUUGAGCCAAAGCUGAAAGGUUGCCCUGCUGAUCUGCUUUCCCAUCACUAAUUUGGUCCAUUCCUAUCUCAGAAGAUGUUUUUGAGACUGGGUGGACUCUUGUCUGAGGUCCACGAAUUGGAUUUCAGCCAUAAACUGAGUAGCUAAGACUUGUGGCUUUAACUUCUAGACACAUAAGUAGUUUACAUUUGCACACUACUAACAACUCUUACUCAGCACUCUAAACCUGUGUGCCUGCCUUCCCUUUGACCUGUUCUUAUCUCAGAACCGAGACCAGAGGCAUAGUCAGAUUGCUUUUAGGCUGUGUAAACCAAGAUUAAGAUAGAUGCACAGGAUGUGCUGGGAUUUGUGCAUAUAUUCUCUUGAGCCCCCCUUCCUAGCCUUCCUUUAAAUGUGACCUUCCCCUGCUUAGUCUCAUUUUAAGAGCAACUUAUGUUUAUAGAAACCACUCCUUGUUGACAUUCAGUAUGGCAAUACCCAUGGAACAGUGUGUGCUCUCUGUUCUGUGUAUUUGCAUAUGUCACUGCUCCUUCAUCAAUCACUACAUUAACAAAUAGCCACUAAUUGUUAAAAGCAGUUGAUACAAAUGCAUUGUGCUCCCAUGGGACAGAACUUACUUUUAAGAAUGUAUGUCCUUAAUUAACAUUUACUUCCUAGAUAUAGUUAAAAUAUGACCAUGUGGGAGAUUAUUAUCAUGUUAGGUUAAUACUUGUGUCUCUUGUAGAGCUAAUUCUUCAGAUUGUAUAUACACAAACACUUUUUUUUCCUGAUACAAAGAUUUACCUUUUUAAAAUAUCACGACCUAAUGUAACUCAAGGGAAAGAGACCCAUGGGCAAGCCCCGCCUCUUAGUCCCUGAACAUUGUUUGGGUGACAUGACUGAUCUCUGUGGGACAGCAUUAGAGACCACACAGAUCUGGUUUCCCUCCCAUUAGCUGAUUUAUGGAAUUGCAUUAGGGAAGCUCUGCCUCUGGGAGGUUUCCCUGCCCCUAUGCCUGCUCUCUUCCCUGCCACAGCUUUAUAGAGAAGAGAUGAGAAAACUGGAGCGGAAAAAAAAAGUUAAAAGGGUGCAUAUGUUUUUCUUUCUCUUUUCUCUCACUUAAAAAAUAGGAAAUGUGUUGAUGUACCAGCUCCCAGUAAUGUUUCUAGAAGCUUGAGAUUCUAAAGGAUUUGAUUUAAAAAAAAAUUCUGAUAUUAUCAAGUGAAACUAGAUAACUUGAUUCAGAAAAGUGUUUUAGAAGUGGAGAGAGAUACUACAUACAAAUUUAAAGUUCUAAGGGCCCCCAACCAAUAGCAAUUGUGAAAUUCUAAAUAAAGUAUUGUGUCUGUAAUUUGUGCAGAAUGAUGGCUGCCUGCUAAGAAAAUGAAUUUGUAGCCCACAUCUAAAGUAGAUGUGUCACUAUCUAGUUCAAAGCUAUAGAAAAUUAGUAAAUGAC
RNAcentral lists this long non-coding RNA (3729 nucleotides) under Mus musculus (house mouse). Its description in RNAcentral is "long non-coding RNA chr3:134240839-134244568". Lineage: Eukaryota; Metazoa; Chordata; Mammalia; Rodentia; Muridae. The record is from RNAcentral.